UUUUUUCUAGGUGUGUGUGGGGCGG
This 25-nucleotide non-coding RNA is filed under the name Rattus norvegicus (Norway rat). Lineage: Eukaryota; Metazoa; Chordata; Mammalia; Rodentia; Muridae. The record is from RNAcentral.